GUCCCUUCGGGAACAUCCGAUAAAAUUGGAACGAUACAGAGAAGAUUAGCAUGGCCCCUGCGCAAGGAUGACAAGCACAAAGAAAAUAACCUCAUCACC
RNAcentral lists this small nuclear RNA (99 nucleotides) under Marchantia polymorpha subsp. ruderalis. The record is from RNAcentral. Lineage: Eukaryota; Viridiplantae; Streptophyta; Marchantiopsida; Marchantiales; Marchantiaceae.